CUAAGAAUAUUCCGCAAUGGACGAAAGUCUGACGGAGCGACGCCGCGUGGAUGAUGAAGGCCGGAAGGUUGUAAAAUCCUUUUAUGACUGAGGAAUAAGCAGUGUGAGAGAAACGCAUUGUGGUGACUGUAGUACUUGAAUAAGCAACGACUAAUUACGUGCCAGCAGCCGCGGUAACACGUAAGUUGCGAGCGUUGUUCGGAAUUAUUGGGCGUAAAGGGCAUGUAGGCGGUUUUGCAAGCUUGGUGUGAAAUGCCGGAGCUUAACUCCGGAACUGCGUUGAGAACUGCAUAACUAGAGU
RNAcentral lists this ribosomal RNA (301 nucleotides) under uncultured Treponema sp. Its description in RNAcentral is "bacterial SSU rRNA". It matches the Rfam family "Bacterial small subunit ribosomal RNA", at positions 355 to 647 of the family's 1533-position model. The record is from RNAcentral. Lineage: Bacteria; Pseudomonadati; Spirochaetota; Spirochaetia; Treponematales; Treponemataceae.